Molecule: non-coding RNA, 73 nt
Organism: Ictidomys tridecemlineatus (thirteen-lined ground squirrel)
Lineage: Eukaryota; Metazoa; Chordata; Mammalia; Rodentia; Sciuridae
Source: Rfam
GGGUAUAUAGCUCAGUUGGUAGAGCGCUUGCCUCACAUACACAAGGUCCUGGGUUCAAUCCCCAGCACACACA